Molecule: unclassified non-coding RNA, 1914 nt
Filed under: Hevea brasiliensis (rubber tree)
Lineage: Eukaryota; Viridiplantae; Streptophyta; Magnoliopsida; Malpighiales; Euphorbiaceae
Source: RNAcentral
GCUUUAGCAUUCAAUCACCCAUCACUCUUAUAUUGGUGGACCAAGACCAACUAUCUUGCUUGCUACUUGGACCCCUUCUUGUACUCUCUCUUUCUAACUCACUCUCUUCUUGCAGACAUUUUCAAUCCACAUCUAUUUUUCACCUCUUCCAAUAUAUAUAUAAUACCUAAAUUUUUCUUUUAUUAUUUUUGGUAAGUAAUCUUCAUGAUUCAUGAUAGUGAUAAUUCAGUCAUUUUCAAUUGUGGAUAUCUGUGUGCCUCUAUCACCAUCCAAGCCUUCAUCCAAUAUGAGGUAUACUCCCUCAAUUAAUUUCAUUUAGCUCAGCUAGACUCCAGUACUGAUUCCCAAAUUAUAAUGGUUAAUGAUAAUAACCAUCUAUUAAUUUGGAAAGUAAUGGGGAGUUUUACCCAUUGACUUUGUCUACAAUUGGGUUUUGUUGGCUAUUAUCUACAAGAUUGUUUCUUAGAAUAAGUUAAACUAAUGUCUUUCACAAAAAGUGUUUUCAUCAAAGAGGGACAGUGAUUUGACAUUCAAUUGAAAAUGGUUAUGGUAAAUAUCAUUUAAAAAAAAAAUAAAAAAUCACAUAUUGGUUUUGAGAAUUUUCCUGUCUUUGCUAUCCAAGUGAAUUUCUUGUUUCUUUGUAGAUUUUGGUUUGGUGCUCUUGAGUUUUCAUGAUCUCUGUCUGGUUUCUGAUAAAAUCUUUAUAUUUUGCUCUUCAAGUCUUACAGAUUGUAUUAUUCUUUUAUCAUGCAGUUCCAGUUUGUUACUUGCACAAGAACUUAAUUAUUGAUUUACUAAGUGUAACCAUUUUGGGUUUCUAUCAUUAGUUGCAGUUGCUUUCAUAGCUUAUUAUCUAAUCUUAUAUAGUCCUCACUUCAGACCAAAAAUUAAGUAAACUUUUACCUGCAAGAAUCUAAAGCCAUUUGAGACAGCUUCUGUUCUUCAAUCAAAAUUCAACAGUUUACAUAUGUAUAUGCUCCUAAGAUAUUAUCUCUCUCUCUCUCUCCCCCCACAACACACCACCCCUCCCCCCUUAAAAGCAUUUUGAUGGCUAAUUGACAACAAUAUUUCAAGUCAUCUUAAGUUGGAGAUCUAUUAAGCAGUAUUUAGCUGGAUGGCAUAUGCUAAGUUUUCUUGAAUAUAUUAUUAAUAAAAACAAAAUAGCUUGCUUAUAAAAAAAAUCAUGUCUAGAAAACUAAGGAUAAUAACUAUAACAUAUACUUUCUUUAGCUUUAUAUCUUUAAAAAUGCCCCAUUGUUAAUUUAAUUAAUUAACACUAAGCACAUCUUUGUUUCCUUGAUCUAAAAUAUACUGAAAACUUGAAGCUUCUAAUUAAGACUGAAACUUAUCAUUUAAUUAGUAAGGCACAAGCAAUAUUACCUUCUUCAUGGGUUUUUGUUAUUGACUUGUUUGAUCAAAAUCCAAUAACAUGAUUCUUGAAUUUGCAUAUAUUAGCAAUUUAUUCGCUCCAUAGUCAUUGAUGGAUGAUCAUUUCUUUCUGUUUUAUAAAAAAAAAAAAUGAUGGAUGAUUUUUUUCUUGCUUUAUCUCUCAUCAUUAGCUACAUAAUUUGGCUAUUAUCUUUAUUUUUUUUAUUAUCUUUAUGUUCUUGCUAACUAUUAUUUCUCCCCUUGAAUGAUCUUUUGGCAAAAGGUUCUUUUUCUCCCUAUUAUCUUCCAUCUUCUAUUCUCUUUGUUUUAAUUUUUCUGUGCUGCUAUAGAUUUGCUAAUAAUUACUUCAAACAUAUUCCUAUAGUUUUUCCAUUUUCUUUCUGCAAAUGAAAUUCAGUCAUCAAGUGAGCAUCCAUCCUCUAAUCACUUAUAAUGCUUUUUCUUUGAAUCACAGUGGAUGAUAAAUAAGCAAGCACACACUCGCGCGCACACACAUUGCAACAGCUAAAUUUGAUUUUUGUUUAU